ACCAGAUAGAGGGAAUGGCAAAUGCAAAGGCCCUGAGGCAGGAACAUGUGUAAGAAGAGCAGAAAGACAGUUGUGUGGCUGGAGCACAGGGAAGGAGGGGUAUGCAGGCCACGAAGAGGAGCUGGGGUUUGAUUUCAAGUACAUACCUCACGUGUGAUUGGCGUGGAGCCAGCCGGAAGAGCCGCUGUGGGAGAACCCACGCGCCCUGACCGCAGCGGGCCAGGGAAGCAGCUCUGGGAGGAGGACUUGGGCUGCGCGUCUGCUCUUCAUUCCCCUGAUUCCUUCCACCGCAGCAUGUUCUGGGAGCCCGUGGCCAGGAGGGCGGGAUGUAGUCAUCCGCCCCAGGCAGGGCGCUGCUUUGGCUUCCCUUCCCCGCGUCCUCUAGAUCCCCCUGGUUUGCAGCCACCAGGGGAAGGUCGUCACCACCAUCACCGUCAGAAGCAUCGUGGUGGGAAACAUUUGUCGAACGCGCACUAUAGACCAGGUCCUGGGCCGUGCCUUUUAUGCGUGUCUGUGAGCUUGGUGUCCACUUUACAGAUGCGAAGGCGAAAGAGGCAAAAGCCUCCAGCCGAGAUUACACGUUUGUUGUGUUCCCGGGAACAUCUGGGCCUUGAGUGGUGGAAUGGGCUGGAAUGUUAGCGCUGAAGCCCCGCUGGAGCUAGAGGCUUUGCUGGGACUGGGAUUGGAGGCUGCAGAAAGCGAAAAGCGGCAAGGUCGGCUGCAGGUCAUGGAGAGAGAACAAAUGCGCUUCUCUGAAGGAUGGAAAAAUCGAUGCCCACGGAAGAGCGGGUGCAGGGAAGGUGUGGACAGCAGCGGAGGGGAGAAGACCAAGGGCGGGGGGGGAGUCAGGAGCCUGGGGUCCCUCCGCUGCGGCACUGGCUGUUCCCCAUCUCCCAGAGCAAAGUCAGAGGUCAGUGUGGUCAGCACAGGCCCGGUGGUGUGGUUUUGGUUUUCAUUAUUUUGUUCUGAUUACCAAAGCUGUGCGUGUUCGUGUAGAAAAUCAAAAUCACCAAAUCCAUCCCCCGAGGUAACCUCCCCGUUAACGUGCAUAGUAAAUCCUUCCAGCCUUUUUUCUCUGCAAGUUGAAUGCACUUUUUAUUUUUGCAAAAGUAGGACGUGCUCAACUGCUGUUUUUCAUCCGACACUCUGCAGCCAGGAUCCUUCUGUGCCGUUACCUGGUGAUCUGCUGGCUGCACCAUGAGUCAUCUUGUUGUGUGGUGGACAUGUGCACAGUACAGGGCUUGGGGUCAGGAAUUGACCCCUUGCUUACGUCACGUCGGGCAGGUGGCCUCCACCCUCUGACCUUGCCGUCCUCCUCUGUGUGGUGGGGCUACUGCUGACUGCCUUACAGCCUUGUGGUGAGAAUUACAUGAGGCAAGAGACAGAAAGUACUCCUUCCUUGCGGAACACAUCAAAAAUAUUCCACCCACUUCAGGUAUUAUUAUUUUUUAUCCUUAUGGUUACAUGGCAAAACCAUCAUUUACUUAGCCAAACCUCUGUCAUUGAACAUUUAGGCUGUUUAUUCAAAUUCCCUUAACGAAGAAGACUUUAGUGAAUAUCCUUGCCGAGAAGUCUUUAACAAAUGCUCAAUUAUUAAUUUUGAGUGAUUUCUAGGAGAAAAGUUUCCAUGUUAGGAAAGGUAUGCACGUUUUAGGACCAGUCUGUCUGCAUACUCACACAUUGCCCUCCUGAAAAUGUUCUGAUGACACGGUGUGAGUGUCCUAGGACUGCCGUGACAAAUUAUCACAAAUUUGGUGGCUUAAAAUAAAGAAAUUUAUUCCCUCACAGUUCAGGAGGCUAGAAGUCCAAAAUCAGGGUGUCAGGUUUGGUUUGGUUUUGUCUUUUUUGGGUUUUUUUUGGGGGGGGGUGCCCUCACCACGUGGCUUGUGGGAUCUUAGUUCCCCAACUAGGGAUCGAAGCCACACCCUUGGCAGUGAAAGUGUGGAGUCCUAACCACUGGACCGCCAGGGGAUUUCCUCUCUUAGCUUCUGUCAGUUGACUCGUAGCCCCCUCACCCCAGUCUCUGCCUCUGUGGUCAUAUCACCUCUUCCUCUGUCUAUUUUUUCCCCAUAUGCCUCUUACAAGGACAUUGUCCUAUAAUCCAGGAUGAUCUCUUCAUCUCAAGAUCCUUAAUUAUAUCAGCAAAGACCCUUUUUUUCAAAUGAGGUAACAUUCAUGGGUUGUGGGGUUAGGACAUGCUCAUGGCUUCAGGGGGCUACCACUGAACCCACACACACUCCUACCAAGGAAAGAGCAUUGUGUAAAAUUCCUUUUUCCCCUCACCACACAGGAUAUUCUAAUCUUUUUGAAAUGUUUGGCCAAGUUGAUAAGGUAAAAAGGAUCUCUUGCUUCAAAGUGCAUUCUGUUCUGUUCUUUUCUUUUACUAUCAGUGAAGAGAAACAUAUUUUCAUCUGCUCGCUGGUCAUUUGUUUUUCUUAUUUUGCAAUUCUUAUUUCACAUGCUUGUUGGUCAUUUUUCUUAUUGUUUUACUGAUUCAUGUCCUUUGCUCAAUUCCUUAUUAGGUAUUAAUUGUCUUCUUCUGCGUGUGUGAGAGCUCUUUGUAGAUUAGGGAUAUUGAACCUUUAUUAUAUCUUGUAAAUAUCUUCCUAAUUGGUCACUUGCUUUGGGGGUUUUCUCAUAGUUCUUCAAUGUACAUAACUUUUACAUUUUUUUGUAGUCAAAGCUUCGAGAGCAUUUUACCAUCAGGCUUUUCCCACUGACAUUAUUUUCAUCUAGCGCUUUUAUAGUUUCACUUUUAUAUUUAAUUUUGUGUUAUCUCUGCAAUUUAUUUUAGUGAUGGUGUAUGUUAAGGUGUAUUGCUUUCCCCCCCAUUAUUGAACAGUUGUCUUAAUACCACUUAAUAAAUAGUUCAUAUUUUCCCUAUUGAUUUUAAAUGAUACCUUUAUAAUAUAUUCAAUUUGACUUCUGGUUCCAGUGACCUAGCAGACUGAGCUAAUGGUGACACUCCCCUCACUCCUUAUGCUAAGGAACAUCAACAAAACUUAGCACAGCAACAGAAAUAAUUAAUCUUGAAAAAAAGAAUGGGAAACUCCUAGGUCCUGGAAGUUGGGAGGGGAAAACCAGAGCCAGGAACUAUUCCAUAACAUACAACCCCCAAAAGGGGCAAGAUCCUCAGUGAAGAGGUGCUGACAGAUAAAAAAUAGAAACAACAGGAGGAAAUGAUCUACCACAAGGGAGAAUUAGCACAGUGUGAAACUGAGAUCAUAGCACAGUCUGAAAGAGACUAUAAACCAAGUGUGCGUUAAAUUAUUAAAAGAAAAAAAGGCACCAUAAGCAAAUAAAAAGAUACCUUAAAAAAGAGGCAGAUUUGAAGGAAAACAAAGAUCUAAGAAUGAAAAACAGCCACUGAAACUAAAAUUUCAAUGGGUGUGUUAAAUAGCAGAUUAGACACAGCUGAACAAAUGUUCAUGAACUUAAAGAUAGAACUGAGAAAAUUACUCAGAAUGCAGCCUACAAAGAUAAAAAGAUAGAAAGACCAAAAAUAGAAGCAAACAGGAUAGAGUGAGGAGGUCUGACAUAUGUCUUAGAGGAGACCUAGAAGAAGGGAGAUUAUGAGGAGAAUGGAGGAGAGAUCGUAUUCAACAUGAUAAUGUCUGAGAAUAUUCCAAUAGUGAUGAAAGACACAACUCCUCAGAUUUAAGAGGUGUAUUAAUUCCAAGAAGGAUAAAUAACAGUCAGUCUACACCUAGAUAUAGAUACUAAAUAUGUAAUACUAAAGACAAAGAAAAUUACUUAAAGCAACCAGAAGGAAAAACUGUGCUCUCAGCACUUUGCACACUAGCUCUUUAAGUCUUCAAAAUAACACUCUUAAACCUUUUAAGAAUGGAAAAUUGAGGCACAGAAAGUUUAGCUAAUCUUUAUUACUUCAUGUUACUUUAGUAAUUCUUGUUACAAUAAUGGCCCCUGAAGAAUCACACUUCCCCUUGACAGUACCCUUUUGUGAUGUGACUUUGCUCCUCCUGCCUUCAAGAGGACACACUUGUCACAAGGGAGAAUCUUAGUCUAUUUCCCCACCCUUGAGCCUGGUCUGGCCUUGAGACUUGCUUUGACUGGUAGAAUGCAGCCAAGAUGAUGUUGUGUUAUUUCCAAAACCAGACCUUAAGGAGCCUUGUAGCUUCUAGUUUUGCUGUCUUAGAUCACUUCUGCCCUCUUGUCAAGAAACCCAGUGUAGAAUACUGGUGGAAGAGAAUUGAGAUGACCUACCUGACAGCCAGCACCAACUGUCAGGCUUUUGACUGAGGCCAUCUGAACCCUUUACCCCAUUCAAACCCCAGAUGAGAACAGCCACAUGAGUGACUCUAGGGGAGAUUAGCAGAAGAACUUCCCAACUGAUCCCAGCCCAAAUAGCAGAAUUGUGAGCAGUAGAUACUUGGGCACAAAAUUACACAAUUAUUAAUGGCAGGGCCAGGAUGUGGACCUAGGCAGCCAAGAACUCCAGGUCAUAUGCUUUGACCACAAUCCCACACAGCCUGCAAAGAAACAACAAAAAACAUCAACAACAAUAAAGGCCAAAAGAAAAUACAGUAAUAAUAUAUCCAAGAUGAUGAAAGAAAAUAUUUGUCAACUGAAAAUGUCUUUCAGCUAAACUACCUUUAAAGAGUGAAAGCAAAAUAAAGACAUUUUGGACAAAGACUGAGAAACUUUACCACUCACAGAGCUUUGCUGAAAGAACUAAUAAAGGAUUAUCUAAGGAGGAAGGAGAUCAAACCCUGUAUCAGAAUGCAGUGAACCUUUGCAAUCUGCAUAUUCAGAUCUUUUUGUCUGGUUUUAAGGCACAGUUUCCUAGGGCAGCUAUAUGAAACAACGGCAACUGGGGGGUUUAACACAACAGAAGUGUGUUCCCUCACAGUUCUGGAGGCCAGAAGUCUGCAAUCCAGGUGUUGGCAGGGUUGGUUCCUUCUGGAGGCUCUGAGGGUGAGUCUGUUCCAUGCCCCUCUCCUGGCUUAUGGCAUUUCUUGGCUUGUAGCUAUAUCACUCCAAUCUCUGCCGCUACCUUCGCACGGCCUCCUCCUGUUUCUCUCCUGUCUGUGUUUCUUUGUUAAUGUGGACACUUAUCAUUGGAUUUAGGGCCCACCCAGUUCAUCCAGGAUGCUCUCAUCUUGAGAUUCUUAAUUAUAUCUGCAAAGACCCUUUUCCCAAGUAAGGUUACAUUCGCAAUUACCAAGGGGUAGGACUUGGACAGGUCUUUUUGGAGACCACAGUUCAAGGCACUACACAGUCCACGUCCACGUCCCUUUUUUUAUAGCCUCAUGCUGCCUUUUCCCAUCAGUCGGGGUUGCCCUGUGCUUUCCCGCUCCUGUUUUGCAGAGCACGUCUUUCCGUUAAGGUUGCCACACCGUUUCCUGACGUCUUCUGGUUCCUUUAGGAAACUGCUGUGAGCCGCCUGCUCUCGUGUUGCAGAAUGCUGAUCCCUUUCCAUGCUCAGCAGUGUUCUUUCACAGUCCUUUGUGGUCGAUGCUUUUGCCUCCGUAUUGUCCCUCAGACACAGAAACAUUAACCCACACUCCAGGAUUUUAAGUAGACAGGAUGUGUAGAUUGCCUCUGGUCCUGUCCUCUUAUUACUUGUUUGGUGGCUCCAUCCCAUUCUCAGGGUUUGGUCUGGGCAACAGGAUCAAGUGGGCUUUGCUCAAUCCAUGUCCCAGUUUCCAGCAGGUUCUGCCAAUUGCAGCCCAGCUGAACGAAGGUGGCAUCCGCUCUGGUCCAGCUAAAUGGUUCUUGGAUUUUCUGAACAGAUAAAAUAAGCAAAAGUCCCAGCAUGCACUGCUACUGGGGAGUUUCCUAGUGUUCUCCUCACCCCCACUCCCCCUACAAUGAUCACCUUUGCUUCCCAGAAUCCCAUGCACCAUGAAAGCCCCCUGCUUGCCCACUUUCUCUCAAUGACUAGGGGACAUUACUCCAAUAGCAUCUGUGGGAGAGGGACAGCUAUCCAGUUUUCAGAGUGGCACAGAUUCCGGGUCUCUGACUGGGGGCAAAUGAUGGAGGAGGUUCUGAGCCCCUUCCUGCCUUUGUCCCCAGUCUCUCUCCAACACCGGCCCCCCACACCCACUAUUGUCAUCAGCAUGGGUUCCUCCCAGAUUCUGACAUGGGGUUGGCAGCUGUUCCCCACAAUGCGUAAGGUUUCAUAUUUCUCCCUACGUUCAUGGGUAUUUAGUGGAAAACUAAGAAUGGCUCUAUCAGGGUUUCUAGUUACAUGUCAUCUUAUAUAGAAGUCCACAGGUUUUUAGUGCUUUUUUUUUUUUAAAGCUCAGACUCACUCAUUCAUGCACAUUUAUUUGUUCAAAAAAAGUAGUGUGUUCACGGCUUGGCUUCCUAGUGGAUGUCAGGAUAACUCAGCUAAUAAUACAGGAGAGUUCUGCAAAGAUGGAGGAAUAGGGAAAAGGCCCAGGCCCCCGCCUCUUCCUUCCUCCGCUCUGCAAACCUGACUUCUCCAUCUUGAAGACCGUGUUCUUGUGCUCCCAAAUUAGCAGUCUGUGAAAUCAGGCACAUUUAUUGAGAACUUUCUUUUGCUCCAGGCAAAAGUAAGGGGAAAGGAAGUAGCCUAGGGGAGAGGAAGAUAAAAUCGUUAGGAUUCCUGCCCUCAUGGUACACAGCUUCCACUUCCCUGCUGUAGAGCACGGUGCCUGUUUUCAUCAUGGUUUGUGAUGAUUAUUUGAAUAAUCACCUCACUAGACUCCUGUCAGACUGGCAGCCCCGUGAGUGCAGGAACAGUGUCUGUAUCCUUGUUUGUUAGCACAGCUGGGACUGGGUAGGGCCGCCUGAAGGACAGGCCAUCUGAGCUGGGCUCUGAAGGGUGGAUAGGAGUUCUGUGUAGAUAAGGAUGGUGGGAGCAAGAGAGAGGGGCGAAGUCUCUCUCUCUGGGGUCUCCUCAGCCCAAACCUGACCCUCCUUCUUGGCCUAGUUCUCACUGUGGUUUCUGCUGCGACAGGGAGAAAGUUCCCCUCUGGAUCUCCUUAGAGGCUGAACAGCCCCAUGUCUGGGCAGUGCUCAGAGAAGGAUGAGGUCUGCAGGAAUUGAUGGCCAGGUUGCCUAGGCCUAAGAGCUCAGCUGGGGAGAAUGGACAGAGGCCCAUGUUUGCCUCCUCUGGGCUCCCUUCCUUUAUCUUUUCAAAGCAGAUAUAAGUGGUGCCCGUCCCACCGUGGCAGCCGCGGGUUGUGAUUACUUUCCAACAGGCACGUUCAUGGCUGGGUCUCCUGGAUGGGACCCAAAAGCCAUUUGCCCGGGAGGCAGAAUCUGAGUCAGGUCCAGCUGGGUCUUCCCAUCUUUUAUUUGCCCAAUCCUAUUAAUAAUUAACGAUACAGUAAUGAGAAUUGCUUUUAAUAGAAUCCGCUGCCAUCAUGGCAUUCUGUUCCCCGCCAAGGGUUUCCCCCAAAAGGAUUCACGGUCACAUGGCUGUGCCUCCUGCCACCUCACUGGAAGGUCCCCUGCCGUCGUCCUUCCCUCCUCUCUUCUGGGCCUGAGCCCCCUCCCUGCUGACCUGGAAGCCCCACUUUCUCCUCUACCAUUUCCUGUCCCCUCCCUGAAGCCCCACCCACCAGCCCCUCCAGGUUCCCGCUGUGGCGUGAGGCCGCCCCAUCCACCCAGCGAGGCCUCGUCUGUCACCAGGGCAAACUGGUCCCACUGGGCAGGGACACGGACGCCCCCGGAAGCAGCUGUGUGCCCAGCCUGGGGCAGGCGUGAGACCCACACUGUGUGUACAGAGGCUGACACUGGACCCAAACUCACUUCCAGCAAAGCCUUAGGACGGUGCUGUGGUUCUCCCCAUUCUGCAGAUGAAGAACUGAGGCUCAGUGCCUCGAGGAGGUGCAGGUGGGAUGAGGACGCAGGUCGUGUGACUUCAAAACGAGGACACUGAGGCCCAGAGAGAAUGACAUGAGCUGGAGCCUGAAACUUGCAAGGUGCAGGGCCUGCCUUCCCAGUACACACCAGUGAAGCCCAGCUCCUUGAGUGGAGUCCUCACACACAGCUGGUGAGGGGGCCUUCAUCACCCCACCCUGGGUGGGCCACGCGACCGCUUUGACCAGUGAGGACGGCAGAAGCGACACUGGAACAGUUCCAGAACUGGCCUGGCAGCUUCACCUCUUGCCUCUUGGAGCCUUGAGUCUUGACACAAGAAAUCCAGUCUAGGUUGCUGGAAAGGGCAUAGGAUGCAGCAGCAAGAUGAGGCCAUCCUGGGCACCCAGCCCAGCGGAGCCUUCAGAUGACUCCGGCCUCAGCUGCUAUCUGCCUACAACUGCAUGAGAGACUCCAAGCAAGAACCUGCCCAGCUAAGCCCCAUCAACUCCAGCAUCACCAGGAAGACUAAUAAACUAAUGCUUGAAACCACUGCACUGGGGGUGGUUUAUCACACAGCAGUGGGUAACUGGAACAGCGCCCUACAGACCCCCUCAGAUGCGAUCAGCCAGGGAAUGUGAACUGGGCACCCAUAACGUGCCGGGCAGAGAUGCAAGCUGUCCUGCCAACCACAGACGGCCGUGGGGAAACCCCAAACCUGUAUUCGCGGAAAGAUGUGGGGAUGCUAUCAACUACCCCGGCCUGCAAGUGCAGCAAUGUGUGAGAGCCUGACACGUGGCCCAAAUCCCAGCCGCUCCUCUCACUAGCUGGGGGAUCUUGGGUGUGUUACUGCUCCGAGCCUCACCUUCCCCAUCUGUAAACUGGGGGAAUAAGAACCCUUCCACCAGGGAUGAGCUCCAUUUUGGAGAGCGAGGGGCCAUGUUGGGCAUCUAGACCAACGUCCCUCCUUCAAGAUCUGACAGCCCCUCCCACCACCUCUCCGCCCUUUCUUCCUGUCAGUUCCUAGUUGCAGGGAGCAGGGAGCGUCUGCCAAGAGACCCAGCUGGUGACCCUGAGGAUGCUGCCUGAGGAUUCCUCCGUUAUUAAGGAAUAUGCUCCCUCUCCCCAGCUCUUUUGCGCUUCUGUGUCAGGCUCAGAAAUGGCUUAAGGGGAGGGGCUGGCAUUCAACUCCGGGGUCUAGGCAACCAUGCCAUCCAUCUGGCCUCGCUGGAAUUCAGUUUCCCCACUCCUGGAGGAGAAGAGACAGGCAGGGAGGAGAGACAGAGGGAGCAGGCAGUGCAAACCGAGGACCCGUUCUGGGUCAGGCACCGAGGCAAGUGCUGUGAAGGGUCGGAUCACCUCUGAGCCUAGGUCCCAGCUCACAAAAAGCGAGUCCGCGGAAGUCAGUUUUGUUGAGCUAGUUAAAUGGCUGGUAACCCCGCCCCCAGGUCCCUUCCAUGCCCACCAGGCACUUCACCUCUCAGGGCCUCCCUUUUCCAUCUGUGAAUUAAAGGAUAGACAAGGGCAACGAUGACCGGCAUUGGAGCGUCUGCCCUGCUGGCAGGGGCUGCUGUGGCCCCGUUGCACAGGUGGGAGACCGAGGCCGGCCAGGUGUGCAGGGACUUACAGCCCUCGGGACCACACUGCCAGGACAAAGCCCAGGAGGGAUUAGAACUCAACUCCGUCUCAUUCCACACCCGAGCUCUUUAAACUCUCCCUUUGUGCGUGCCUGUAACUGAUUGCCCCACCAACUGAUUAACUGAUUGACUGAUUACCUGCCACGGCCCCUCCUCCUGACGGGCCUUCCAGGGAGUCCCCUCCGACCCCCACUGCCCAGCUCACGUUCCUCCGACCACGCACCCCAGGUGCGCCCCCAACAAGCAGUGUGGAAGGGGGCGGGGCCUGGGCGGGGCUCCCGCGGCUUCCCGCCCCCGCCCGCCAGCCGCCGGCUUCUUAAUCUGCAGCCCUUGUGGCUCUGCCUGUCGCCCGCCGGUUGUCAGGGAAACGACCUCUCCCCUCUGAACCUUCAAAGGGCUCCUCCCACUCCUGCGGGCGGGAGCUGGGGUCCUUGGAUGAGAGACUGGGGAGACAGAGACGGGGGAGGGAUACCCAGAGAUGGAGAGACAGGGAGACAGAGGCAGAGACGCACCCUGGCAGGGAGAGACACAGGCCGCAGAGAGAAUGGAGGUGGAGAAAAAAGAGACAGUGACAAGAAAACGCACCCCCGCCCCUGCCACAGCAACAGAGGCUGAGAGAUGGAGAGAGACAGUCACAGCCCUGUACAGAGACAGGGAGAGAGAUCUUGGGAGAGGCAGGGUCAGCAUAGAGAUGGGGGGUGGGGG
This is a long non-coding RNA of Orcinus orca (killer whale), 10133 nucleotides long. RefSeq lists it as uncharacterized. The transcript is spliced from 9 exons. The record is from RefSeq and is a predicted model, not a curated record. NCBI's taxonomy places the organism in Eukaryota, Metazoa, Chordata, Mammalia, Artiodactyla, Delphinidae.